RNAcentral lists this ribosomal RNA (253 nucleotides) under uncultured bacterium. RNAcentral describes it as "partial 16S ribosomal RNA". It matches the Rfam family "Bacterial small subunit ribosomal RNA", at positions 524 to 776 of the family's 1533-position model. The record is from RNAcentral.
UACGUAGGGAGCAAGCGUUGUCCGGAAUCACUGGGCGUAAAGGGCGCGUAGGCGGCUUUUUAAGUCGGGGGUGAAAGCCUGUGGCUCAACCACAGAAUUGCCUUCGAUACUGGAAAGCUUGAGACCGGAAGAGGACAGCGGAACUGCGAGUGUAGAGGUGAAAUUCGUAGAUAUUCGCAAGAACACCAGUGGCGAAGGCGGCUGUCUGGUCCGGUUCUGACGCUGAGGCGCGAAAGCGUGGGGAGCAAACAGG